This 459-nucleotide ribosomal RNA is filed under the name uncultured bacterium. RNAcentral describes it as "partial 16S ribosomal RNA". It matches the Rfam family "Bacterial small subunit ribosomal RNA", at positions 338 to 795 of the family's 1533-position model. The record is from RNAcentral.
CCUACGGGUGGCAGCAGUGAGGAAUAUUGGUCAAUGGUCGGGAGCCUGAACCAGCCAAGCCGCGUGAGGGAUGAAGGUACAGCGUAUCGUAAACCUCUUUUGUCAGGGAACAAAGGCGGGGACGUGUCCCCGGAUGAGUGUACCUGUAGAAAACGCAUCGGCUAACUCCGUGCCAGCAGCCGCGGUAAUCCGGAGGAUGCGAGCGUUAUCCGGAUUUAUUGGGGUGAAAGGGUGCGCAGGCGGACUGUUAAGUCAGCGGUCAAAGCCCGGGGCUCACCCCCGGCCCGCCGUCGAAACUGGCAGGCUCGAGUUGGAGAGAAGUAUGCGGAAUGCGCGGUGUAGUGGUGAAAUGCAUAGAUAUCGCGCAGAACUCCGAUUGCGAAGGCAGCUUACCGGCUCCAAACUGACGCUGAGGCACGAAAGCGUGGGUAUCGAACAGGAUUAGAUACCCCAGUAGUC